UAGGGAAUCUUCGGCAAUGGACGAAAGUCUGACCGAGCAACGCCGCGUGAGUGAAGAAGGUUUUCGGAUCGUAAAACUCUGUUGUUAGAGAAGAACAAGGACGUUAGUAACUGAACGUCCCCUGACGGUAUCUAACCAGAAAGCCACGGCUAACUACGUGCCAGCAGCCGCGGUAAUACGUAGGUGGCAAGCGUUGUCCGGAUUUAUUGGGCGUAAAGCGAGCGCAGGCGGUUUCUUAAGUCUGAUGUGAAAGCCCCCGGCUCAACCGGGGAGGGUCAUUGGAAACUGGGAGAGUUGAGUGCAGAAGAGGAGAGUGGAAUUCCAUGUGUGGCGGUGAAAUGCGGAGAUAUAUGGAGGAACACCAGUGGAGAAGGCGGCUCUUUGGUCUGUAACUGACGCUGAGGCUCGAAAGCGGGGGGAGCAAACAGG
RNAcentral lists this ribosomal RNA (429 nucleotides) under Gemmatimonadota bacterium. Its description in RNAcentral is "Gemmatimonadetes bacterium partial 16S ribosomal RNA". It matches the Rfam family "Bacterial small subunit ribosomal RNA", at positions 355 to 776 of the family's 1533-position model. Lineage: Bacteria; Pseudomonadati; Gemmatimonadota. The record is from RNAcentral.